Cavia porcellus (domestic guinea pig) is the source of this 20288-nucleotide long non-coding RNA. RefSeq lists it as uncharacterized. The transcript has 2 exons. NCBI's taxonomy places the organism in Eukaryota, Metazoa, Chordata, Mammalia, Rodentia, Caviidae. The record is from RefSeq and is a predicted model, not a curated record.
CAGCCGGUAAUGAUGAAAUAAAAUUUUAUGAGUUGAGUUGUAUCCUCCCACAAUGAAUGUCUUAAAGCCUUAAUUGCCAACUCCUUAGACUGUGACCUUAUUAAGAGAUAGGGUCUUAGAAGACAAAUCAAGUGAAGUUAAUUGUUAAGGUAGCCCCUGACCCAUAUGGCUAGUGACCUUAUAAAAUGGACAAUUAGACAGAAAGGCACAUAGAGGAAAGAUAUUGUGCAGCUACAGGAAGGAGGACCCUGUGAGCAAGCCACAGGCAGAGGUCUGGAACCAAUCCUUCCUUUGGUCCCCUGAGAAAGAACCAGUCUCUCUCAACCCUAGAUCUAGGGCCAAGGCUUCAGACUGUAGAACUGUGAGGCAACCCAUUUGUCUUACUUAAUUUACUCAGUUUGCUGGGCUUUGUUACGGCCAGCCUAGAAAAACAACAAAGCAAGGCUCAGGGUCUGCCCUUACCUAUCCUGAACUGGCUUCCUCGCUUCUGCUCCCAAAGCACCGGCCUUUUCCUCCUAUCAGCACUGCCUUCUCCCUCCAAGUGUGAGCCUCUCCCAGGAGCACACUGGAGCAGGCUCUUCAGAAACACAGGGCAAAAUAGAUCUGACUUGCAAGAAGCAAGAUGUUUCCAGAAACUCACUAAAGGUCUACUGAGCUUGCCUAGAUCACACUUCUAAUGAGGCACUGGCUGAAUGAGAGUGUGAUACGAGAUCACACUCCAUCCUAAAACAUUGCCAAGAAUGACUCUGGGAAAAGCCCUUAAGAAGGUUUACUGUGUUACUUUUCAUUCGCUAUUAGUUCCUGAUUAUUCAUCAAACAGGAUCAAUAUGUAAAGGAAGAGUUCAGGAAUACGACAUGAUUUGAAGGAAGACUCACCAGACAGCCUUUCUAGUAUCUUUGAGGCAUUAGACAAUGAGGCUCUCUUGGGUACAUUCUGUCCUCUUCUUCUGUUCUCCAAGUGACUCCACCUAACUAACAGUGCAGAAGAGAACACAGCAACAUAUUUUAGACAAUUCCUGCAACUUGAGUCUCAGGAAGUCACAUUUUCUAGUAACUAGACUUUUGAGGAUUAGUGAAACUCAUAAAUGUAUUUUCUGGAAUUUUUUUUCAUAGCAGCAAAUCUUAUUUCCCAGUGUUUUAAGACAGGUCACUUGGGAAAUUAUUUUAAUUUUCACUGUAUCUUAAUGAACCACCAUUUAAACCAUCCUAGUAUAUUAAAAUGCAGUGGUACUCUAGAGGUAAUUUUACCUUUCAUUCAGAUUUUACCUUGACUGGUGACUACUAUCCCAGUUUCUUUUUGGUACCAACUGAGAGAUCAUAUGUGUUCUAAUGCACAUUUGUAAAUUAGUACAGUUUUGUCAUUAAGAAAGGAUACAUUGUCACCAUACAAUUUAUCCCAUAAACACAGUACACAGCAUAUGCUACUUUAUCUUUUCUUAAAUCUUCUAGCACUGGUUGUCAACCGGCUCAGACCUGUGAAUGAAAGAAAACACAUGAGCACUAUCCCACGGCCUAACAAUUCCUUUGAACAGGCUUUAGUUUCUCAUAUCUCCUUGUGACUUAAAGGAAUGUAGUGUACAUAUCUGCAUAUGUGUCUAUACUUGUGUUUUGGUCUUUUUCUUGAUUCCAAGACUGGUUGUAGUAUGUAGUGAAGUCUUUGCUUAAAGACAGUCCUGGCAUCAGAUCUCUCUGUAUUCAUCUGCCCAGGCUGUUGUGACAAAGUACUACAAGCCAGGUGACUUAAAUAAUAGAAUUGUAUCAUCUCGCUGGAUUGGAAGCCAGAAGUCCAAGGUCACAGUGCCAACAGAGUUGGUUCCUUAAGAGGGCUGUGGGACAAAAUCUAUUUCCUGCCUGCUUUCAAACUUCUGGUGGGUCAUUGGCCACCCUUGGUUGCCUCAUCCCCUAGAACUAUCACUCCAAACUCUGCCUUCACCUUCAUAUGUCUCCACACUUCCUCUUGUGACAAGGACACCAUGUACCAAUUGGAUCAAGGCCUAUCCUCGGGACUUCAUUUGAACAGCUCCAAACACAGCCACAUGCUGUGGUACUCAGGGUCAGGAUUUUUUAUUAGCUACUUUCUUGUCACUGGGACAAAAUACCUGACUACUGAGGGAGGGGCGGUUUAUUACGGCUCAUGGUUUCAGUCGGUGAUUGGCUGGCCCUGAGAAAGAAACAGUAUUUCCGAGUGGCACAGACGGGGGGAAAGUGACCCUCAGUGCCAGAAAGCAGAAGAGAGGGGACACACAGGUGCCCUGCUAGAUCAGCACUCCGUGACCCACCUCUAACCAGACCCUACCUCCUAACAGAAAGUCAGCUAUGGAGUCCCCCAUCCAGUCACCUUCCUACACAUGAGACAUUCGAGGGGACACACUUUAGAUCUAAGCCAUAACAGAGUUGGAAACAAAAUUCCACCUGAAGCACCUGGCAUGGCCAGGGACUGCCAGUAGAAUGGGCACAGGACCUCCAUUUAGUCUUGGUCACCUCCUCUGGAAGAAGAAUCAAGCACUAUGCAUUUCUCAGGAGUUCUCUGAGAAGACUCAAAAGGGCUUCAGGGCCAUCCAGGUGUGAUUUAUCUUUAUCAGGCCGGCGAGGUGCCACGUGACAGUGAACACACACACACAGCAGCACAAGACAGCUGUCCAGUCAUCUCUCUCUUAAUCCAUAAUAAAGGAAAAGAACAGUUUUCAGUAAGAGCCUACCAAGUACUGGCAUGACUGUAGGUAAACCUGUGGGAAGUGGAGGAUUGCUCUGCUCUGUCUACCUGGUUAUUCUACAGACCUCUAUUUGCUCGUGCUGGGCACAAUCAUUUACCUUGACUGAAGUAUUAUAAGAGGAGGUGCGAACAUGGAGGGGAGAGGAAAGGGAGGCCUGUGGAGUGAACCCUCAUGACUGGGAAUAUCCAAAGCAAAGGUGGACAUUGCUCCUCUCUGGAGCAAGCACAGGGUCCUGCAGGAGGCGAUAACCUCCAGUCCCUGACCUGUGCAGGAAGGUGUCUGCCUAGCAGGAAAACAUUCACCUGGGACGAGGAAACCCAAGCAGCGGUCUGCAGCCCACAGUCAACAUCCAAAAGCCAAUAAAAUAAAUAAAUAUAAAUAAGAGUGCGAGGGCGGGUGCAUGUUGGAGGCUGAGGUCAUAUGAUUGUGACGGAACUAAAUGCGCGGGACUUAGGCGAUCCAGCCAUGUCCUCAAAGCGAGCAGGAAAAUGUCGAGGUCUCACUUCUGUCAUGUUUCCUUCUCACAGGAGCAUGAGAGGAAGCUAUGAUCUCCUGUCUGUGAGGUGAGGAAACACAGCCUGCGAUUAGCCCUGUUUGCCGGCCUGUGUUUCCCAGGUCACCUACCCGCAUGCACCAUCCACCGGUGCCCCCUUUCGUGCUCACGCUGUGCAUUACACUGAUUUGAAGCACUUUAUGAGCAAUCCAUAUAUCAUACAUAGUUCAGAUACACAUCACAAAUAUGUAAUGAUUAUAAGUUAAAGUAAUCACACAGCAAUUCUACUCUCAGCUGUAUCUCCAAGGGAAAUGAUAACAUAAACCUGUAUUCAAAGUGACAUAGGAAAGUUCAGAGAAUAGUACUUAAAAUGGAACUUGCUCUAAUACCCAUCCUCAGAUAAAUGGGUAAAGGAAAUGCAGUAUAUCUAUGAAAUGGAAUGUUUUUAAACCCUAAACAGUAAUAAAGUAUUAAAAAAUUAGAUGAGUAAAAUAUUAUGCUGGAUAAAAGAAACCAAUGUUGUAUAUUUUAUAUGAAUCGCCCUGAUUAUGCAAAUCUGUGGAACCAGGAAACAGAUUAGGUAAGGGAGGUUGGGGAAUGGGGGAAUGAAGAAUGAUUAUUUAAUGGAUACCAGGUGCUUUUAUGGGUUGAUGAGAAAUUUAAACUGAAGAACUUGGUCACUGUUCAAUAAUAGGGACAUAGUACAUUCUGCUAAAUUACUCACUUUAAUACAGUAAUCAUCAUCAGUGCAUCACACGAAGCUGUGAGCAUUUAACAGAGGCAAUGGCCAUAUAUUUGAAGGAAAGCAAGACUAACGUCUCCAGCUCACACAGCAGGAUGACCAAGCUUCAAAGCCUUUAUUAUGGCUCUGCCCUGCUUUGUCUCACUCUGCAACAGAGCUUGCAAAAGAAAUCUGCUGUUUUAAGUUUAGCAACCUGCCCGCAGUCACAGGGCUGUUCAAUCACAUCAAAAGCGGAUGGCAUGUCCAAUCGGGGAAAAGAGAAUCAUCAGUCUAAGAAUGGGACUCCUAACCCCAAACAGACACAUGCACACACCCUCGGCAUCGGCACCUGGGGCUUCUGGCAGGCUCGCAGUCUGAAUGACUGUCUGUCUUCCCUGCCUCUGCCAGGAGCAGUCAAGCUGACUAGAGUUGGAAAGGAAAGUUUGAGACCUCUGAGUUUUGUAUCUGGCAGCCAGAAAGUGUGAAGCAGAAUCUCACGUGACACAUGCUAGCAACCCCUUUAAUUCCGAAGGAUGCCAGUUGUCGGCAUGAGGCUCCUGGUCCUGAUCAGAGGUGAAAUGCUACGUGAUCAGCCCUUACCUUAUGAGGUGCAGGCAAUCAGGACUCUUCCCCAGGGACCUGUAUACCCUGGCCAUCACUUGCCACUGCCACUGACCUCUUUCUUUUCUUUAGCACUUACACAGACUCCUUUCUCUCAUUUUAAUGAAAAUGGAUCCGAUAAUGUCCUCUUUGACCUGUUGCAUUUCUCUUCCUCAACUGUCCACAUUUAUUUCUUCACAUCUUGCUUGCUCUUCACAUCUUGAUGAUCCGGAUCCCACUGUCAACGCCCUGAAUGAUUCUCAUGCUGCAACCAUCAACCUACAGCUCUUUGACUGAAAGUCAAGUCUUUGACUUGCCCACUAUGCCCUUGGGUUUGAAACAUUUCCUCUCCUUAGCAUCUGUGAUGCCCCAAUGCUGGGCUUCACUCCUCCUUUGUUCCUCAUUGGAUAUCAAACAGAGCAAAGUGGGAAGGACGUCUGCUUCUUUGGCACUACAGCUCAAGCCCUUAAUGGUGCCUGCAUCCAAAGAGAUUCAAAGGACUCUGUGAUACUCGGCCUGUUAGAGAUGCUUAGAGAUUCUAUUCUCUGAAAUGCUCCAAACUUUUCAAGAUGCAGUGGGUUGCACAGCCCUGCAAAUCCCUCUGGAUAACAUCCACACUUGCAAAUGUUGGUUGAAAGUCUUCAAGUGCUCUAUGAAAAUUUGGUCUUCUCUGUGAAUUCCCUGAGUAGGAGGGAAGUAAAUUUCUUCAUUUCUCAACAUACCAUAGCUAACAGCCAAACUUGAGAAUCGGAUUGACCUGGGUUUUAAUUUGAGUUCUACCACGAAUGGAUGGUGACCUGAAUCAACCUCAGCUUCCAUUCUUUCAACUGCAAAUUGGGAAGAAUAACACCCACAUAGUAAACACUGGCAUAAUACCUUCAUGUCCUAAUUAAGCUACAUUAAAUGAAAUUACAUGCAAUCACUUUUGCUAUAAUGUGACAUAUGCAUUUCUAAAAGAUCAUUGUAUUGUGUAGAAUCGUGCAAUAGAAACAUCAGUGUUUAUAGUAAAAAAAUAAGCUUUAGAGACCACAGAAAUUUCAUCACUGACAUUUUUAACAAAAUUGUAGCAAGUCAAGAAAGAUUGUAACGCAGUCUCAUCCAUAUUAAACCAUAGAAUAGUAUGAGAAAUAUGGUCCUUGACUCUGAAAAGGCCUGAAAUCUGCAGCUUGUGAGAGAGUAGAAGGAAGGUUACAAGAAAUUGGAUGAAAUAGAGCAGAUAGUACAAGUGCCUAUGACUCAUCAGCAAGGCUGAGGGCUUAGGCUGCCGCGUUUGCCUGCACUCUGUGUGUGUGUGUGUGUGUGUGUGUGUGUGCUCCUAAACACAUGGCUUCUUGUGGUACACUCUUGUUUAUCAGUGUUUCUGAUGGGCAAAAUCCUGCUAUGCAAUUAAAUUUGCAUUAUUCUCAAAUCAUACCCAGAUAGAUCAGCCUUGUUGGAACACAUUUGUGUCAUAAAAGCAGGCAUUGUGUGAGGCUUGGCUGUAAGAGCUAGCAGAGUCCCUGGCCAGCAGUAGAUGUAUAGUUAUGGUUGCUUUCAUUCUUUUGUAUUUCCAUCUCCUAAAGGCCCAUCUUCCUGAGGGCAGGUUCUGGGUUGUGUCCACAUUUGUGCUCCAAGUACUGGCAACCAUUUUGUAAGCCCAUCUGUAAGCAUCAUCUGGGUGUUAGGAGCAGGGCAGGGAUGUGACCUCUGGGGAAGCAGCUGCUGAGACAGAUGCUCAGACACAGGCAUGGUCCUGCCACUUGGAGGCCUGCAGGUUAGCAUGCACCCAAAAGACAACCAAACCGAAUGCUGGACCCUGGACCUUCUGACCUUCUUGGACCUGGCCCAUGUCAAAGUGGAAAGCGUUUCUCACACUGAGCAGUGAAAGGCUUGGAAGACAAAAUAUGACCAUGCUACAGCAGUCCUGGAUCAAAUGAGAAGCCAUCAAAAAGUGACAAUGUCCUAAACCUGACAAGGGGAAGAGGAAAGAUCAGCCUUGAUCACCUGCUUCUGAAAGUGACUCCCAUUCCAUACCUUUUCCAUUGUGUCACUAUUUGCCAUGUUCUGUGACAACAUGAGUCAAAUCUAUCAUCAGGCCAUCAUCACAGAGCAAAUGUUGUGCUUGGCAUUUUAUCAUCCAUAUUGUGCAUUCCUCCAGACCAUCACGGUGUAGAAGACCACAGCUGUUAGUUCACAGAUGAGUGCAGUAGCUUCAGAGAGGAAGAGUGACUUGCUCAAAGGCAUAGCAGAGCUGGGUGAGCCUGACUUCCAAUCAUCUUCCUCCUCAUUCAGAACAAGGCAAAGGUAGUGCUGGUUGCCUGCUGUGCACGGGGGUGAAAGGAAGAUAGAUGAGUGAAUAAUAAACAUCAAUGCUGUCUGCUCUUGAUGAAGGGCACUAACUCUAUCAGGGUAGAGCAUCAUUCUGCUCUUUCCUUAAUAGAAGCAUAAAUAUGAUCAUUCCCUGCAAUAAGCAAUUUCCUUGGCUCUGGUGACACAAUGGGAAAUUAAAUAUGGGUGUCACAGGACUACUAGAGGAACAAAUGGCAUUACAUAGCCCUCCUCCUCCUCUCCCUGCUGUGUUGCCAUCUUUUUACAGUCUGACAUGAAGCCCUGUAUAGAAUCAGGGUUCCAAACAGAGAAAAUGUACAUUGAAAUGCUAGUGAUAUGGUGCUAUAAGGUUGCUCAUUCGCUGAUGUGGUUUCCCUCUAUUUAGAAUAACAUGCAAUUUUUACCAAGAGUCUGUGCUUUAAAUUUGUGACCUUCUGUAUGGUUUUUCUUCCCUGAGUAGUUGUAAAUUAGGCAGGUUAAUUAAUCUCUCUGUGCUCAAGAAUUCUCCGUUAUCUCCAUCUAUAAAAUGUUGACAUCAUUAUCAUUUUAUUGGUAUUAAUUACUUUCCUGUCUCUCAAAGAAAAAAAUCCAUCACUUCCAAGUAAAAGAAGAAAGAUUUAUUUUGGCUUAGGGUAUCAGAGGAUUUAGUCUGUGGUUGACUACUUUAAGGUAGAAAGAGCAUGGAGGAAUGGUGUGACAGAGGAAAGUUGCUCACACCAUGGCAACUAGGAAGCCAAAGAGAGAGCGAGAGGAGCCAAAUACAAGGAUGUUCCCCACCUCCAUCGUUCUCCUAGUGGCACACCUCUUAACAGCACAUGAAGCCAGGAAAUCCUCAGUGGAUUAAUCCACUGGUGAGUGUAAGGCUCUUAUGACCCAAUCAUCUUCCUAAAGCCCUACAUACGAACACAUAACACUUUUAGGGGGCAUUUCAGAUCUAAAACAUGUCAAUAAGCAUCAUCACGAACCCACUCCUCUUUUGAUUUAUUUCAUAUGUUAGAUGCCCAUGUCCAGGAAAAACAUAGAGUAGGAAAACCCUUUCCCUAGAUGAUGAGUUCUCUUUUCUUUCUGAGAGGUGCCCAGGACCUGUGCUCAGUCAUGUGGAGGUCACAGAUCGCAUCAAACUUUGCCAGGCCCUCAUGAGGUUCACAGCGAGCACAGGAUUGUCACUUUCCUGGUUCCCUGGCCUAGAUCUCAGAGAAGUGCUCACCUGCUGGAUUCUGAAGAGCCCUUUCUAAGCUUUGACAAUUUUGCAACCAGUGCAGAAAAGUUCUGGUGAAAAUAGCAUCUAAGUAUGAAGAAAAAUGCAAUGACAGGACUGUCAUCAAGUAAUAAAAAUAUACAGUGCCUUUAGAUUCUAUUGCACAAACCCUCAUUCAUAUGCAUUGGAAGGAAUCUUCACACAUAUAAAGACAAAGUAUUUUAUUUGUUCUAAAGACCAAGCAUGGUGCAUAUACAAACUCAAGAACACUUGAAAUCAUCCUAGGCCUCCCAUUCCCAAGGCCUAAGGUUUGAUAAUUAUGCCACAAAACAAGUUUCAGAAGAAUAUCUACCUCCUUUGCCUCUUAAUAAAAAGCCAGGUUGAUAUAUUUUAUUGUGCAAUGAAACCCAUAAAGAAAAUAAAAUGUCCAAAUCCAUGCAGUGCCACCAGAGAGAAGACAAUAAAUUUAGCACUUUGAUAAUACACAUAGUGAGUUAAUAGGGAAUUUAGAAUAGAGGGUGGGGCUCUUCCCCAAGUGUAUUAUUAACAGUCAAUGCCAUGGACAGGAAAGGGAUAAAUAUAGAAAUGAAUGCAAUUUGGCAAAAUUACAAAAAAAUAUAACCAAUUCUCUCUAAAGUGAAUGCACGCUUUGCUCUGUUGAGGGAGGAGAAAUGAGACAGUGAGAAUGUAUCUGCAGUAGAUUCGCUAAUCUUUGCUUUUUCCUCACAAUAUGCACAUCAGUUAAAAACUAACAUUCACAGGUCAGUUGAUGCAGAAAGCACAACUUCUCGGGGAUGGGAAUACACAAAUUAUCUAGAGGUGCGUUUUUCGUUUUCACUCCUGACUGAUGGUCAAACAUUACAAGGGUGAAAGUGUCAGACAGAGCUCCUGUUGUUAAAGAUUCCACAGUUCGGGUGGAAGCUUCUGCCCUAUAGCAAAAGACCUCCAACAAACAUUAGAUCCAAUGUGUUGAUGGCACUGUUGUCACUUUAGUCCAAGCUAAAUCUCUCUCUCUGGUGGAUACAAUAGCAGUUUCUGAGGUAGUCUCACCACUUCUCCAGACUCCACCACCAUCACCCACCAUCUGUUACUAAACAGCCAGGGGAAGCUUCUCACCUUUCUCAUCAGGUCUUGCCACACAGGUGUAACCUCUCCAGGGGCUCCUUGUUACCCUUAAAAUCAUAUACAGACUCCUGAACUGAUCUGCAAAAUACUCCCCCAUCUCUCUUGGUGAGUAGGAACUCCAUCUGCUUCAUGCUCUGGUUUUCCUGUUGUGCCCCCCAGCAUCCAGCUUUAUGUUUUCUUCUAGUUACAUGGAUGUCGGUUUCAAGAGUAUUUCUUAAACACUUGACCUCACCACUGUCUUUAGCAUGUAGAUAUUAAUGACGGGUCAUCUGCUGCCGCAUACUUUAUUUUCUUUUCUCUCUAGAAAUGUUCUCUAUCUGAACGUAUCCUCUUCAUACAUUUGUAUAAUUUGUAUAUUGUCCUUGGACAUCCUGCUAAGACAUGGAUUCCACAUGAACCAGGGUUUCCUCCAGUUUGGUUAUACCAUGUACUCAGUCCCUGGGACACAGGUAACAUGCAGUAAACUUUCAUUCAGAGAAUGAAUGAAAUAACUUGUAGAUCUACAAGGAUCUGGAAUGGUGUGAGGACAUUUGGGAAACUUUUAUACAAGGAAGAGAAGCUAGAAUUCUGACAGAAAGGAAUGGUUAAUUAUGUAAAAAUGUGUGCUCAGAUCCAAAAAUGACAUUUAACAUUUAUAUUAUUACAUUUCUCACUUCUACUGUAGGAGGCAGACAGAUGAUGAGUGAUGUCAUGAUUAUGCACCACCAAUAAUAAAGUCAAAUUGGAAGCACAGGGUUAGGGGAUCCUGCCUCACUUGCAGGAGUGCUCAAAUACCUCACCAAGCUGUUACAUACCCUUCAUCCUCUCCAGCCUGGCAACACAUCUGAAAAAUGUAUAUUCAUCAAGGUAAGGGCCUAGGGGCCAGCAGCUUCAGACACAUCCUAUCGCUUUCCUUAUUUGUCUUAUGAAAUUGAGAAGAAAAUCAAACUUUGUGACUCAUUUUCCUUUUCCGUGAAUGAAGUGGUACUUAAUUUCAGAGUGAAAGUAUAAUUUAACCCUUAUAAAGUGCUUAACGUGGUACCCAAAACAUGACAAAUAUACAACCCAAAUGUGUUAUAUUGUGAUAAUUGCUUUAUUAAAAGACUGAGCAUUUGAAUACACUCACUUAAAUUCAUAUAGCAUGAGCACACUGAACCCAGGAUCAAGCUCAGAUUUGGCCAAUUAUAAAAGCCAAAUAUUAUAGCCAUGCAAUUGAACUGCUCUCCUGCAAGAGCCUCAGUCAUGAGAGUCAGUUCCAUGUGAUAAAAGUGUGCAGUGCAUACACUUAUAGCAUUCCUUGUUACUUUCGUGUGUUCAUAUUUGUUGUUCUCAAUGAGGCAACCGACACCACCAGGAGGGAAGGACUGACCACUGAAACAGUAGGACUUACUAGUGGCUCCUUUACCACUGCUGUGAAUUCAUAGACAUUCACCUAAAUGUUAUCUAAGAACAUUACCUCCCUGAUUCCAAAGGCUGGAAAAGUGAGUUUGCCAGCAUCAUUAGUGUCCCUGUGUCUUCUUAUCAAGGUUUUUGUUUUAACAAAAAAGAGCUCAAUAAAUCAUAUAGGGUCCUGACGAUGCCAUCUGUACCGUUAGCUGGGCACAUUGCAGAGACUGAUUUCUGGAACAGCAUCUCAGGGAGAUGAACAGCUCAGUCCCUGCCUUGAGAACCCAUGAUACCAUAUAUUAGUGAGUCUCAUAAUUGCUAGGCACCUUUGAGCAUGUCCAGUGCAGAGAUGGGACCCAUCCCGAGGCAAAGGCUGUGCAUUAGUAAACUGAGUCUUAGGAGAAGACUGUGAGGCCAGGUGGGAAGCUCUCCAGUACAGAGAAGAACAGAAGAUGCUCACAGUGGGUAUGAGACCAGACUGGGUAUGGGCCAGGGUCGGCUUUCUGGAGAAGAUAGUACUUGAUCUGCAUUUCAUAGAAUUAGUAGGAUUGUACCAUGAGAUACAGGUGGAAAGACCAUUCUGUGGGUGGAGGUGGGGGUCAUUUGAACAAAAGAAUGGCAGUAACAUGCACAAAGAAGGGGAUAGGGAGGAGCAUAGUCUGAUUGGUGACCUGAGUAUGAACAUAAGACAUCAGGUCAUGAUGAGUUUUUCAUCAUAUUCCUUCCGGUCUGUGUGUGGGAAGCAGGCACAAUCCAUGCCUAAAGGGGAGGUCAAUUAGAAGCAGUGGUAACAGAUGUGUAUUCAUGAUUUGCUCUGUGCCAAAACCUGUGCUAAGUCCUUUACAAGGACUAGGCCAGCUUACAAACACGCAGAAUCACUGGCAGAAUACAGUCUCCCACAGGUGUCCAUGUUCAAACCACCCAGACUUAUGCACAUGUUACCCUGCGUGAGAAGGACUGUGCAGAUGUGGUUAAGAUCUUGAGAUGGGAAGACUUUCUGAACUGUGGUAGGACCGCCCCCCCCCCCGCCAUGUAAUUACAAAGGUCCUUAUAAGAGAGGCAGGAGGGUCAUAGGAGAACCAGCAGAGGGGAUCUGGAAUUGGACAGACAGGUGGUCACCAGCCAAGGGCACUGACAAGGCUUUAGCAACUGGCAAAGUCUGAGAAGUCAUUUGCCCCUGAAGCUUCCAGAAAGAAUGAACUCUGUCAACCCAUUUUACAUGUCUAACUCUGGAAAAUUGUUAUGGCAGCAAUAAGAAAAUAACACAUGGUCUAGGUACAAUAAAAUUAUCUUCAUUUUAGCAAUGAAGAAGCUAAAUCUCAGAGGGGUUUGCCUGUCAAAGAUCAAAGAUGGCAGAUAUAGUGUCAGACUGAACUGUGUAAUUUUCCUCUCUAUUUCAGCUAAAUCUGCACAAACCCAAGAUGCCUUUGGUGCAAUUGAAAGUAGAUUCCUGUCAAUUUCUCCCACUCCCCACUCCUGGCACCCUUGAUGCAGCAGUCACUCCAAGCAAUAUGUCACCCUUCACAAAAUCCACAAGAACAGAGGGUCUUUUACUCCUGCCAAAAACCCUAAAGAAGGAGAGGAAAGUACAGGUUAUUACCAUCGCAAUGAGAUUAGAGAAUCUGUGUUUCAAAAAUCAGAUUGAGUGAUAAAAAGUACAAUGUUCAUAAAUAUUUAACCUCAUCAACAUGGCAGUAAUUAGAGAGCCGAGCAGGGUGCCCUGCUAGCUGUGGGCUGACCUGGAACCUGAGAGGGAAGAUUUCCAUGAGAAAUAAAUGACGGGAGUCCAAAAAGAUGAGAUACUGCACCUGGCACCAACAUUUUACCUGAAAUGCCCCUAAAAUGACGCUUUUUGAAUUGUUGAAUUCACAGUAAGUCUGCCAUCUAUUUUAAGCCCAUAAUAGCCUGGGAAGUUAUAUAUAGUCAUCUCACACAGACACCACUUCCUUUCUAUGAUGCAUCAUGUGUAUCACUCGCAGUGAAUCAGGGUCAUCCAGCUUCUGUCUUCCUUUGCCUCCAUGAGUGCCCACCAUGUGGAAAUGCCUGUCAGCAUUGACUGUUCCACCAUUUUGGGCAAGUGGCUCAAAAGUGGUUCAUUUUGCUUCAGUUCCAAAGUCACAAGUAUAAAACAGGGUGUGAGGACUCCACCCAUGCUCUCUGGGGCCUUCUCUCUUGCUUUUCCAAGUAUCCCAGUUGGGAACUCACCUGGACAAGUGUUUUAGAAGAUAAAAGGCAUGUAGCCCGGUCGCCUGGUCCCCCAGAUGGCAGCAAGCUGACCACCGCUCAUGAAGUUUGCUCAUGUGACACAGGCCAGUCACAGAGAACCACCAGCUUUCUGGGCCCUGACUCCUGUUGCAAAUGUGAGACCAACCUAGACUCGCAGAAUCUGCCCAACACUAGUGGUUCAGCCAAAAUCACCAGCCUGCAGACGGAAGAAUUUAAAAAUGAAAAACAAAACAGAAAACUCUAUCAAGUCAGUUGGUUUAGGCUGGCUUGGGAUGAGCCAAGCAGGACUGACAUACUUGCCCAUCUGCACUGAACAUGCUCUUGUGUUCUUGCUAUGAAAAGUAAGAAAAUAAAUCACAGAACUGAAAGGAAACAAACCCUCACGUCAGGGGUGGGGUGGGGUGGGGAACGUCUCCGUAGGAAGAAGUUCACCGUCAAAGAGCAUGUAUCUGGCGAGUACUUGCUGCCUGUCUUGCACAUCCUGCCUGUCCACAUCCUCCUUCAUCCCUGGCUUCCUUCUCCUGGCUGGAUUUACUGAAAGGCUGUCUACUCCUGCUGUUACCGCUUUCUAUCCUGAUCUCUGCGCACUCUAGCCUGGUUUCUGUUUCCAUCACAUCAUUUUUCACGUUGAGGCAUUUGCUAAGACUUUAUUUGGUGACAAGAAACGGAAGCCCAACUUCAGUAAGCUCACAGACUAACAAAGAAGGAUCUGAUUAGGAUACACAGUAUCUCAGAGGACCCAAGAACGGAAUGCAGCAAUCCCGUAGACAUCACUGGAAUCAAGUCUUGCUCUCUGGUGUCUUGCCUUUGCGUAUUUCCCAUAUCACUGUUUCAUUCUGUCACUUUCUACACACUGAAUGUCUCUAUUUCUUAAACUGCAAAACAAAAAAAAAAUGACAUCAGCCCAUAAUUUCUUUUUUUUUUUUUUUUGUCUUUUUCCUUUUUAUCUGUACUGGGGAUGGAACUCCCGACUGCCUGCUUGCAAGGCAGACGCUUAUGCAGCUGAGCUAAAUCCCCAGCCCCAGCCCAUAAUUUCUUAUAAGCUCCUCCUCAGUUUAUGUGACUUCCGUGCAAGAGACUGGCCAGAUCUCAAUGUCAGCCCUGGGUCACACAUUCCUUGAGGAGCUCCUCACUUGGCUGUUGGCCAGGAGAUAGAGUUGUAAGGGCAAUUAAAGGACAGGUCUCAGGAAGUCAGAAGAUCCAAUACUUGUGAUAGAGACCAGAAAAGCAAAGCAAUCUCACCGUAGUGCUCAGCUGCACCCACUCCCCAUACAAACUUCCACAACUUAACUGGCCAUAUCAUAGGUCAAAAUGGCACCCCUGAGUUGCAACAUACAAUUUACAUGAUUUACAUGAUUAUAUGUUGACUGUGUAUUCCAUAGCUUGUAUUUGCGUGAAGGCAAAGAUGAGUUCACUGCUUGACUCGUGUCUGACCCACAGUAAAACGUAGUGAAUGUCAACAGUGAUUCAGUGAAGAGAAUCUUAAGGUUUGGAAUGGACAAAUAAAGUCAUGGGUCACUAUGUUCUGACUCUACUGCAAAUUGUUUUUAUUGUGCAGUGAAGACAAGAAUGUGAUAUCAACAUGUUAGAUAAAAAUUUGCCUAUGUUCAUACUAUAACCAAGGAAAAGCCUUACCUUCUCAACCUCCAGAAUUUUACUGAAGAACUUGUGCUUCUAAUUAUGUUGUUUUGUGGACAGUCAGAGAUACAGUGAUGGAGGAAAUGCAGAAUGAUAAUCCUUACCAGGAACAUGAGAAAAACGAUUGAUUUGGUGAAUGGUGGUCAUUGAUCCAGAGAACGUCAUUGAUCCAGCUUCCUGUGCGAUGAACGUAACCAGGUUCUUGACAGAAUGAACACAGCUCAUGGGGACAAACUUUCCCAGUUGCCUGCUUGACCACAGAGCUAGACACACACAGUCAGCCCAGGCCUGCACUCAGAAUGCCCAAUGGAGGAAUUUCUUUUGUGCAAACACCUUCAGAGUAUGGCGCUAGUGUCUUUGUCUUUUACUAUGGAAAUUUUCCCCUUUUCUGAGUCAUUUUAUAACCACAUCCCCUGUGAAAGAAAACUUGGAAAGGAAGCUAGAUGAGAGGAACUGGCAAGAUCCUUUGGAAAAGCAUGCUGCUUGCAUUUUCUGCACUUGACUAACUUCUAAACAUUUCCAGUCCACAGUUCCAUAUCACAAAUAGACACCUGGAGUCUUAAAUCUGCAGUAAGAAGCAGUGUUUCCCCCUUAAUAUUCAUUAUAUUCCUGAUAUUCAGUUCUCUGAUAGUAAUUUAAAGAAUACCAUAAAUAACUCUGUACACAAUGUGAUGAUUUGAUAAAGUACCUUUAGGCAUCAGUUUGGAUACACAUAUUCCAAACCACAAAUCAUCAGCUAGUAAUUCAGCCAAUGAAUUCAUUAAAAUACAACAAGAAUUACAAACUCCCUAGUUGAGAGUAAUUCAGUGUCAUUGCACUUACUUCUUGUGACAGUUCGUGACAGCAGAUACUGAUACUGGAACUUGCAGGGAAUGCAGAGUGGCCGCUUGGGCACAAAGUGUGAGGCCUUGAGCUAACUUCUAGCUUUACUGUCCAUAGGUUGUGAGACUUUAGAAAAGCUAUUAGACCUCCAGAUACUUCAAUGUCCCUGCUUACAUUAUGGAGAUGUAAAUAAACUUAAAUCGAUGGUUAAAGGAGAUCACAUCAUAGGUGAGGUCUUCCUAGUGUGUAUUUUAACCAUCACUGAACCAAUUCACUUACUUGUAUAACAUUUUUUUUACAAAUUACACAAUUCCUACUUAGAAUAGAAAAAAGAAGGAUGCACUGUGAAAACAAGUUUAUCAGAACUAAAAAAAAAUUAAAAAGUUAAAGUACAGGAAAAUUUCUAUUCAGAUACUCAUACACCAUCAUAUAUACACCAUCAUUCAUAUGCUGUCUCUUCAGGAUGAAGAGAAUAUCUUAUGGUCUAGAUGGAGCAGAAGUAACCGCUACCAAGACAUCCUCAACUCAAGAUAAUAACCUGCUUAUAUCUGAUAUUAAUUUAAUUCCCAAAAGACAGCUAAAUUUUCUUUUGAGCAUGGUUUGUGCCCGAAACUUGUAUCAAGCACCUGCAGCCAGAAGGCGGGAUGGAGUUACAAGAAUGAGCAUCUCCCAGAAUCACCAUAGUGACUGAGGAGAGAGGAAAAGUGAGUUUCCAAAGAAGGACAGAGGAAAGUUUAAUCCCAGCACCUGGGAGUACUGUGUAAAGAAAAGAAUCUUUUUGUCAUUGACGAAUCUUUAUAGCUGAAGCUAAGAAACGAUUUACAAUCUUGUUUUACCUGACAUCUCAACAAUAAUCGCUAGUCUAUGAAAACUCCUUGACCUACCUUUUUACUGUGAAGGUGUAACUUCUCUUUCUAGCUGCUUUGUUCUAGUUUGGAAAGGAUGCAUUCAAUGUCUGGAAUCUCUCCUCUUUUAUCCCUUUGAUGAAGGUAGAGCUUCUCAAUGAUUUUUUUCCUGGCUACCCUUCCACCCCACUUUAUAUCCUCUCAGGUUCUCUACUUUUGUUUUCCACAAAUCUCUGAAGACAGGCAUGGCCAGUGCAGAACCCAGGGCUUUCCUUCUGAAUUCACACCUGGCCUGCCAUUCUCCUGCUACUGAUGUGUUCUUGUAGGAACAGAAAGGCUGGAACACAGCUGCUUCAUGAGUGGCUCUGUUCUGUUCUGAGCUGUGCUCAUAGUAAUUUCAAAAAGAUAAAAGAGAAUUCCUGAAACUCACAGAAAUAACUUUAUGGAAAUGAUGCUACAAAGUGUCAAAGAGUUAGUUCAUCUAAGAUCUUAAAAUAUGUUUGUUUCUUCCAAGCUGAGGUGCUGGCUGUUGAGUGUACAUGAAUAUAAGAGAUGUGAGAUCUGGUUACUAACCUGUAGUCUGCAGGUUUGUGUGACAGUUCUUACUGGAAUAAAUAUUGGGCUGGGACAUUCAGAAGUGCUAAGAGAUGAGUCAUACAGCUGGUAAAAUGGUAGAACUGAGAUUUGAAGAACUGUCCACUCAGCUCUAAGGUAGAAUGAGUGAGUGUCAGAGGAGAAACGGACAGAAACGUCCAAGCCAUACCGUGACGUUUUCCUAGACCUUGUGCCCAGCAGAGGGGAAGGUCCUGGACAGGCACUCAGAGCCUGGGGGCUUAGUGAGCAAGAAGCCAGUGGACUUUAUAAGUACCUGAAUCCACCUAGUGACCCAGCAGCCCUGUGAACAUGGACACAGAGGCCCCAUGAGCAGCUAAUGGCCUGGAAUGAGAAAGGAAAGCUGGCGUGUGCCCCUUUUUCGGGAUUAAAAUUUUGAUUUGUGGAAAACAUUUUUGCACAGGAAACCCCCGCAUGUUAACAAAAUGUGGUUAGAAAAAACAUCAUAUCUGCCUACAGGACAGCAAAUGAAUUUCUAGCAGGAGAGAUAAAAAUCUGAACUUACCUAACACUGUUUGCUUCCCAGGAGCACAGGAUCAUGUGGCGUACUGGAAAUCAUCUAAUUCAACCCUCUUCAUUUCGUGUUUCAUCGAAUUAAUUCAGAAGUUAUGGAGGAGUCUGAAAAGAGGGGACAGCUGUUUCCAAGGGGACAGAACCAACCCAAGAUAUCACCUGGCAGUUAUUACCCUCCCAUCAGCAGGUCAACACAACUGACGCAUUUCUGUUACACCCUGUCAUGGGUCUAACAAAAAUCCAUUUGAAAAUAGUGAUCGACUCUGCUUCACAGAUUUUCCCAUACAUAAUAGCAAUGAAUGCGUACCCAUCCCAUAAACUUAGAAAGGGGGAAUCACAGGGUGACUGUGAUGACACUGACAAGGCAGGGCCACUGACCGUAGUGCCAUCAUGCAAAGGCAGGCACUACUAUUUUUAGAAUGUUUCCUGCCUCAAAGGUACAGGUGAGAGUGUGGACACCGAUUUGAUGCAGGUAAGUUUCAAAUCCCAGGUCCCUAUCUAGGUGCUCUCUGAUCUCAAGUUCUGAUGUCUUUGAAGCCAUCAGUUCCCUCAUUAGAGAGAUCAGUGUGUUAAUAGGGCCUGUCUGCUGGAGUGGUGACAAUUAAAUCACAAUUCUUCAGUUCAGUAUGAGGUUUGCAAGCAGAAUCCUUCGUUACCUUAAUAUAAACUUUAUCCUCUGAGCUUGGAAUAUACACAUUAGUAUUUAUAAUGUAAAAUGAUAUACUUUAGUUAAACUUGUAUAAUAAUAUAGGAAAUCAGUUAUGAUGCUGUGAGUUGUCAUUUUGUGACAAAUUUUCAUUCAUAUUCAGAUAUCCUUUUUAUGACUAAAAAUAAGAGCAUAUGUGUAAUCAAACCUCUUUGUUGACAUUUAAGCAUUUUUAGUUUUUUACAAUUAUAAAUAAUGUUUUGAUGCAUAUAUUUACAUGUACUCUCUUUUUAAGGAUAUAUUUCAGGAAUAAAACUAUUGAAUUAAAUACAUGGAUAUUUAUAAAGCCCAUGAUACAUAUUUCUGGAUUGCUUCUCCAAGAGGGUGCAAUAAUUUAUAUAUAAAACUAGCAAUGCAUGAGAUUUUGUCAUCUUUUAAUAUACUUGGAAGCAUUCUGCACUGACUUUUCAAAAAAUUUUUCAAAUUUGAUAUUUAAGAGAUGAGACUGCAUUGUGAUGAUUUUAAUUUUGCAUGGCUGAUGAGUUGGGAGCUUGGACAUUUUCCAUUGAUUUAUAAACAAACACAUUUACACUAUGGAAGAGUUGUUCUCUGCUCAUUUAUAUGUGGAUAUCUGAGUUUCAUUUUUAUUAAUAUGUUCGAGUUGUCUAUUUAUUAUUGAUAACAAUUCUCUCUCAUAUUAGCUGCAAAUUUGGUUUCUCAGUAAGGAGUUUUCACAGUCUACAUAGAAUCUCUAUAGACAGCUCACCUUGUAACAAGAGGAAAAUUCAGUGAGAGAGCAGCAAGAUGAAAAUCUUCAACCAGGAACAGUAGUACAAGUCUAUAACCCCUGCACUCCAGAAGGCUGAGGCAGUAAGAACUCAGGUUUGAGACUGGCCUGGAUAAUGCAGUUUAGCAAGAACCUGCCUCAAAGAAGGGCAAAGGGGAUUUAGCUCAGUGUAACGGUCCUGGUGAAAUCUCCAGUACCACACAAACCAAAAAAGUCAAUGUUUUGUCACCUCCUUUUGAAGUGACAUCCGUAUCCUUGCCAUUGGUUGGAAGUGAACCCUGACUUGAGUCUAGUUUACUCCAAAGGGCGCGAUAACCAAGGAACUAAAGACCUUUGCUGGUGCAUCUGGAACCUCCUCCUCCAGUAUCUUUUGACUAGUUUAAUGAAUAAUUCACAAACAUAGUUUUAGUUUCUAUUAAUUUACUACAUCAAUUACAAUCUAAGAAGAAAAAGUCCAUUUUCCACAAAGACUAUGAAGACUGGACAUCUUGGAAUGAGAAGUCAGCCGCUGGCUUGAAGUCAGUCGCUCGCUUGCUCUUGCACUGUUUCUGUAGAGCUCCUGGGCUGACCACUAUGUCUGCACACUGGACCCAGAGAACAGUUAAGUUUCCUGAAGUCACAUCUGAACGGGCUCCUGUCUACGUGUUCAGCCCUACCCUCCCGCCAUCGCUAAAUAGAGUGCACCACUGAAGAAUUCUGUCUAAAGAUUCGAAAUUGAGAAUCAGAAGUUCAAGGGGUCCCGGCAGCUCUCAGAAGUUUGCAAUCCAGAACUCCAAAUGCACUACAGCAAAUGAUUCUAAUCGCUUCAGGGAGCUCUUCGAGAUGGAGUGCUUCCAUCUUCAAGAAGGAAGAAACAGAGUCAAUGAUUCCCUCUUACAACAAUAGACCCUCCCCCUGCACCCAGCUGAAAGGGGGGAAAUGUGAGAAAUGUUAAGUAAGAAUUGACAAGUACUGCCCUGGACUGCCACAGUCAGGUGAUAAAGCUUCUGAGUUUUCAAAACAUCUCUCCCGUUAUCUCAUUCACCCAGCCCAGGUGGCAAACUCCAGAAUUUUCCCUGGAGACUGUGUUUGGGAAUGAUGAAAGCAAGAUGAACUGGAUAAGAAAAAUCACACAAUGACAUGAACUUGAACAUCUCAACUAAUGGGUUCGAAACUGGGCCAAGUUCAUUCUCUGUGCAGCCUUAAAAAUCCAUCUUUCUGAUUCUGUUCCCAUACCCAGAAAGGACAUUCUUUGGCUCAGAUUUUUUCUUCAUUUACGCAUUCAUCAAUUUGAUGCUUAUUUCCUGAGAGCCUGCUAUGCACCAAAAAUGUUCCUGAUUCCAGAGAUGUGGUAGUGAAUAAAACGGUAUCCCAGUAAGUAAAUCUAAGUACCUGGAUAUACAAAAGAAGCAGAGGUGACAUGAGCAUGAUGUGAGAGCCUGGCGUCAGGACAAACUCCCAGGAUCUGAGUCAUGCUCAGACUUUGUCAGGGGGCACAGUGAGGCAGGAGAGGAUGCCUGACUGGUCUGAGGCAGAAGAACUUGAUGGUAGGCUGGGUGUGCCCACCUGCAGUUCUGAAUUAGGGUGCAUCUGCCUCUGACCUGCGCAGCUGAAGAUUUGUCAAAGUCCAUUUGCUAGUUCUGUUUUUUCCAGGUCUGAAACCAAUAAAAGCCUGGCUUGGAAGCCACUUGACUCCA